UUCAGCCAGAAAUACAGUUUCAGACGGUAUUUCAAUAAAUAGUGGUGUUUAUUCCUUAAGCAAUAUCCCCAACUUCUUUGGCAUCUGACCAUAUUGUUUUUCAAACUAAAGACUAUAUAGGAAGAUUUUACUUUUCAGAUCAUUGUUCAAUACAUCAGGUUUACAGAGGUGUAGUUAACUUAAACAUACAUAUCAGUUAACAAACCUAGAAGAGAAAACCCAGGCCAGUAAAACACAGACAGCCAGGCUGCCUCCAUUGACAGCUGUGGAAUAACUAUUGGAUUGGUAUGAACUCUCCAACUUCCACAGCACAUGAGCCAACCAAUGCUUCUUAUUCACUUUGAACAAACAGAAGUAGAAAAGAAAAAAUGUAUUGUACUGGAAACAACUGAUUGAAUAAGUUAUGUUUCAAAACAAUGUUAUCUUAACUUCUACAGAGGUAAUCAACCAAAACCAAGUCACACACCGAUUCAGUAAGAGAUUGCACCUAAAAAAAGUCUAAUAACUAUUUUUCAUUUUCCAACAUAAGUUACUAAAGCAUUUUAAAUACAUCUAAGAAUACAGCUGUCAAAACUGCUUUUGAUGUCACGUUUGGAUAAAAAUUUCUUAAGCAACCAGUGUAUUCAAUCUACCCUCAAUAAUCCAGGAUCAUCUCUUCAAGGCUAAACACAGGAAUAUUUCACUUGCACUCCAUCAGAAAAAAAUCCAUCUUACAAAUCCCUGUAGAAGAGUUCAGUUCUUCAAAUCAACUAAAUUUCCAAAGCAACGACAAAGUUAUUUGACAUCUUCUACUAAUAUAUAUGUUACAGACAUAAUGAAUUAGAAUUAGAACACUGACAUACCAAUGCAGACAUUCUAGUGUAUUUCCUGGAAUCUAAAGUGAAUCCUUGUUUAGGUGUCAAGACGAUGUAAAAAAAAAUCCCAUUAACAAAAAACCUUCAUUUCCCAACAGAAUUUUAUAGUAUUCAAAUAUGCAUCCUGAAAAAUUCUGUAGAACAGAGGAGGCAAAGCAGUUAGUUCCAUGCAGUGUCAAAAAAAAAUUUAGUGUGAUUAAAGUAGCAAAUGAAGUGAAGUUUAUUUUCAUAGAAUGACUCUGGUAAGAAGGAUCUUCAGGUUUCAACCCCCAUAUUUACCCCUGCAUUUAUGAGUGAAUUUCCCCCUCAUCAGCAGUGCAAGACCAAUUUCUAAGCUGUCUAAAUAUCAAACAAUUGAGUUCAGCCAAGCUCACAUUUCUUUCAAUGAUGUUAAGAAAAACAAAAACAAAAACAAACUCAUACAUAUAUUCUACUGUAGAAUGCAGGAACAAAAACUAAAGAGAAAAGACCCCCAAAUUUGAGUACUUAUCCAAGAGCAGUUUCUAACAUCAAGCCAAAAUUAGCAACAACCAAGCAGACAUCACCAAUUUUUCAGUGUUAAAUUACUGUAGAUACUAGAUCUAACUGUACAAAAAAAAAAAAUCCCAAACCCAAAAAAACCAAAAGCAUUUUUAAAAUUUCAGAAUUUUUGUUGUUAAAAGGUGUCCAAAGAAAUAUCCCCUAGUUGCAGUCAAGUUUGCAUUAGAAGCUGCUUUUUCAGGAAAGGUUUAUCCUUCCAAGUAUUUCUAACACAUUGCAUUAUCUAGAUUUCAUUCAAAUAAAAUUUCUGAUAACAUUUAGCUGAUACAACCACCUACAGUGUGGAUAGUCAUGUACACAGUACAAUAGUGGAUCUUUGCAGCAACAGAUAAACAAUCAGAAAUUGGUUGUACAUUUGAAAAGAUAGCUCAUGUGUUAUUUCUCGCAAACAUACGGUCCCCUCUAAGGGUAAGGUGUUGGAGCUGGUAUUGUAGCACUUCUGUGUCAGCAGGUUCCUUAAUGCUCAUUUUGUCUAAAUUGAGGUAGUCCAGAGAUUUUGAGUGAGCCCUUUUACCUUUUAAAAGGCAAAGAGGCAGGGGACCAUGAAGUGCUUUGUAGGGUUCAUGCGGUAAAGCCUUAGUGCAUUUAUCCCCUGAGCUGGGCAUCCGUCUCCUCCUCCUUCCAUUUACUGCUGGAAUCUCAUAUGGCUGAUAAUACCUACUUCUAGCUUUGUACAAACGGGAGGAACGUGCAAGUCCUGAAUCAAGCUGUUUGGAGCGCAAGUUAGGCCCAGAUUCCCCUUUACUCUCUUCAUUCCCUGUACAUUUCUGGGCGAGUUUUAGUAGCUCCUCUCCAGUCGCGAAGCCAACCAGGUAGUUAGAAUCCAUGUGGAGGAUCUGAUAUCCCGAAACCGUCCGUCGCAUGGGUGAGCAGGGGGUACUGGAGCACCGUGGCUUCUCAGCUUCCGUUCGGCCUGCAGCACUCACCUCUGCCAUGGGCACUGGGAGCGUGGAUAUGGCACUUCUGGACUCUCCGUUGAUGUCAACUUCCAUUUUAGACACAGUGCUGUUCUCCUA
This 2410-nucleotide long non-coding RNA is filed under the name Gallus gallus (chicken). RNAcentral describes it as "long non-coding RNA NONGGAT011918". The record is from RNAcentral. Lineage: Eukaryota; Metazoa; Chordata; Aves; Galliformes; Phasianidae.